Molecule: transfer RNA, 76 nt
Filed under: Bacillota bacterium
Lineage: Bacteria; Bacillati; Bacillota
Description: Firmicutes bacterium (subsurface metagenome) tRNA-Thr
Rfam family: tRNA
About the family: Transfer RNA (tRNA) molecules are approximately 80 nucleotides in length. Their secondary structure includes four short double-helical elements and three loops (D, anti-codon, and T loops).
Source: RNAcentral
GCCGACGUAGCUCAGCCGGUAGAGCGACGCACUCGUAAUGCGUAGGUCGUGGGUUCGAAUCCCAUCGUUGGCUCCA